RNAcentral lists this ribosomal RNA (1244 nucleotides) under metagenome. RNAcentral describes it as "bacterial SSU rRNA". It matches the Rfam family "Archaeal small subunit ribosomal RNA", at positions 197 to 1445 of the family's 1478-position model. The record is from RNAcentral.
AAAUGCCUAAGGAUGAGUUGGCGGCGGAUUAGGUUGUUGGUGGGGUAAUGGCCUACCAAGCCUUUGAUCCGUAGGGGCUUUGAGAGAGGUAGCCCCGAGAAGGGCACUGAGAUACUGGCCCUAACCCUACGGGGUGCAGCAGGCGCGAAACCUUUACAAUGCACGAAAGUGUGAUAAGGGAAUUCCAAGUGCUUAUGCAAUGCAUAGGCUUUUUUCAAGAGUAAAUAUCUUGAAGAAUAAGGGGUGGGAAAGACUGGUGCCAGCCGCCGCGGUAACACCAGCGCCUCAAGUGGCAGCCACGUUUAUUGGGCCUGAAGCGUCCGUAGCCGGCUUAACAAACCUUUUGUGAAAUUGUUGGGCUUAACCUAACAGCGUGCGGGAGACACUGUUAAGCUAGGAACCGGGAGGAGUCAGAAGUAUUCCUUGGGGAGCGGUAAAAUGCUAUAAUCCUUGGAGGACUACCUGUGGCGAAGGCGUCUGACUAGAACGGAUUCGACGGUGAGGGACGAAAGCCAGGGGAGCGAACCGGAUUAGAUACCCGAGUAGUCCUGGCCGUAAACGCUGUGAGCUAGGUGUUACACAUUUUACAUGAAUGUGUUGUGUCGAAAUGAAGAUGUUAAGCUCACCGCCUGGGAAGUACAGUCGCAAGACCGAAACUUAGAGGAAUUGGCGGGGGAGCACCACAAGGGGUGCGGCGUGCGGUUUAAUCUAACUCAACGCAGAAAAUCUCACCAUGGGCGACGGCAGGAUGAAAGUCAGGCUAAAGGUCUUACUUGACAAGCCGAGAGGUGGUGCAUGGCCGCCGUCAGCUCGUGCCGCAAGGUGUCCUGUUAAGUCAGGUAACGAGCGAGACCUGUACCUACAAUUGCUAGCGACCAAUUCUUGGGAUCGAGCACUAUGUGGGGACUGCCUUGGAAACAAGGAGGAAGGUGCAGGCUACGGUAGGUCUGUAUGCCCCGAAUCUCAUGGGCUACACGCGCGCAACAAUGGUUGGGACAAUGGGACACAACUCCGAAAGGAGAAGUUAAACCUCUAAACCCAAUCUUAGUCCAGAUUGAGGAUUGUAACUCAUCCUCAUGACGAUGGAAUCCCUAGUAAUCGGAUCUCACUAUGGUCCGGUGAAUAUGUCCCUGCUCCUUGUACACACCGCCCGUCAAACCACUCGAGUAGGGUUUGGAUGAGGAUUAGACUUUUAUCUAAUACGAAUCUAAGCUCAGCGAGAUGGGUUAAGUCGUCACAAGGUA